UACAGAGGUCCCAAGCGUUGUUCGGAUUCACUGGGCGUAAAGGGUGCGUAGGUGGCCAGGUAAGUUUGAUGUGAAAUCUCCGAGCUUAACUCGGAAACUGCAUUGAAUACUAUCUUGCUAGAGGGUUGGAGGGGGGACUGGAAUUCUCGGUGUAGCAGUGAAAUGCGUAGAUAUCGAGAGGAACACCGGUGGCGAAGGCGAGUCCCUGGACAACUCCUGACACUGAGGCACGAAAGCUAGGGGAGCAAACAGG
Molecule: ribosomal RNA, 253 nt
Filed under: uncultured bacterium
Lineage: Bacteria
Description: partial 16S ribosomal RNA
Rfam family: Bacterial small subunit ribosomal RNA
Source: RNAcentral